GCAGUUAGCGGAAUGGGACAACCUAUUUAUUUAGUUCGCUUUCUGUGUAUAUGGA
This 55-nucleotide small RNA is filed under the name Mycoplasmoides pneumoniae M129. RNAcentral's name for it is "Mycoplasma pneumoniae M129 ncRNA". Lineage: Bacteria; Bacillati; Mycoplasmatota; Mycoplasmoidales; Mycoplasmoidaceae. The record is from RNAcentral.